RNAcentral lists this ribosomal RNA (462 nucleotides) under uncultured bacterium. Its description in RNAcentral is "partial 16S ribosomal RNA". It matches the Rfam family "Bacterial small subunit ribosomal RNA", at positions 28 to 507 of the family's 1533-position model. The record is from RNAcentral.
GACGAACGCUGGCGGCGUGCUUAACACAUGCAAGUCGAGCGGUAAGGCCUUUCGGGGUACCCGAGCGGCGAACGGGUGAGUAACACGUGGGUGAUCUGCCCUGCACUUCGGGAUAAGCCUGGGAAACUGGGUCUAAUACCGGAUAUGACCUCCUAUCGCAUGGUGGGUGGUGGAAAGAUUUAUCGGUGCAGGAUGGGCCCGCGGCCUAUCAGCUUGUUGGUGGGGUAAUGGCCUACCAAGGCGACGACGGGUAGCCGACCUGAGAGGGUGACCGGCCACACUGGGACUGAGACACGGCCCAGACUCCUACGGGAGGUAGCAGUGGGGAAUAUUGCACAAUGGGCGAAAGCCUGAUGCAGCGACGCCGCGUGAGGGAUGACGGCCUUCGGGUUGUAAACCUCUUUCAGCAGGGACGAAGCGCAAGUGACGGUACCUGCAGAAGAAGCACCGGCUAACUACGUG